UACGGAGGGUGCAAGCGUUAAUCGGAAUUACUGGGCGUAAAGCGCACGCAGGUGGCUGAGUCAGUCGAUUGUGAAAGCCCUGGGCUUAACCUGGGAAUUGCAGUCGAUACUACUCAGCUAGAGUAUGGGAGAGGGUAGUGGAAUUCCCGGUGUAGCGGUGAAAUGCGUAGAUAUCAGGAGGAACACCGAUGGCGAAGGCAGGUCUCUGGGCCACUACUGACGCUGAGAAGCGAAAGCAUGGGGAGCGAACAGG
This 253-nucleotide ribosomal RNA is filed under the name uncultured bacterium. RNAcentral's name for it is "partial 16S ribosomal RNA". It matches the Rfam family "Bacterial small subunit ribosomal RNA", at positions 524 to 776 of the family's 1533-position model. The record is from RNAcentral.